UACGAAGGUCCCAAGUGUUGUUCGGAUUUACUGGGCGUAAAGCGUCUGUAGGCGGUGGGGUAAGUCAGAUGUGAAAUCCCGAGGCUCAACCUCGGAACUGCAUCCGAUACUGCCUCACUAGAGGGUCGGAGGGGAGUCUGGAAUUCUCGGUGUAGCAGUGAAAUGCGUGGAUAUCGAGAGGAACACCAACGGCGAAGGCAAGACUCUGGACGACACCUGACGCUGAGAGACGAAGGCCGGGGUAGCGAAAAGG
This 253-nucleotide ribosomal RNA is filed under the name uncultured bacterium. RNAcentral's name for it is "partial 16S ribosomal RNA". It matches the Rfam family "Bacterial small subunit ribosomal RNA", at positions 524 to 776 of the family's 1533-position model. The record is from RNAcentral.